AAGCAGAGAUUUAUGCUCGUACCUUUUGCAUCAUGAUUUAGCUAGUAAACUCAAGCAAAGAGAACUUUAGUUUGACCCCCCGAAACUAAGUGAGCUACUCCAAGACAGCCUAAUACAGGGCAAACCCGUCUCUGUGGCAAAAGAGUGGGAAGAGCUUUGAGUAGCGGUGACAGACCUAUCGAACUUAGUUAUAGCUGGUUGCCUGAGAAAUGGAUAGAAGUUCAGCCUCCCGGCUUCUUUACUCACACUGUAUUAACCCACACAGACACCAUAAGAAACCGUGAGAGUUAGUCAAAGGAGGUACAGCUCCUUUGAAUUAAGGCACAACUUUUUCAGGAGGGUAAAGAUCAUAUUAAAGACCUCAAGGUUAAAUGUUUUAGUGGGCCUAAAAGCAGCCAUCUAGACAGAAAGCGUUAAAGCUCAGACAUAUCACCCACCCUAUCAUCACGAUAAUCCAGUCUUAACCCCCUACCCUUACCAGGCCGUUCCAUACAGAUAUGGAAGCGAAUAUGCUAAUAUGAGUAAUAAGAGAGAAUAGAAACGACUCUCUCCCUGCACACGUGUACAUCAGAUCGGACUCCCCACCGAAACUUAACGGCCCCAAUCAAAGAGGGAACUGAACCAUAAACUGGUUUAACUAGAAAAUCAUCCAAUAUUUAACCGUUAACCCUACACAGGUCUGCUUACAGGGAAAGACUAAAAGAAAAAGAAGGAACUCGGCAAAUAUAUUAAAGCCUCGCCUGUUUACCAAAAACAUCGCCUCUUGCAAAACUAACGAAUAAGAGGUCCCGCCUGCCCUGUGACUCUAAGUUCAACGGCCGCGGUAUUUUAACCGUGCGAAGGUAGCGUAAUCACUUGUCUCUUAAAUGGGGACCUGUAUGAAUGGCAUAACGAGGGCUUAACUGUCUCCUUUUUCAGGUCAAUGAAAUUGAUCUCCCCGUGCAGAAGCGGGGAUAAACACAUAAGACGAGAAGACCCUAUGGAGCUUUAGACACUAAGAUAGAUCAUGUUAAACACUCCCUGACAAAGGAAAUAAACCAAAUGAUCCCCUUUCCCAAUGUCUUCGGUUGGGGCGACCACGGAGAAACACAGAACCCCCGUGCAGAACGAAAGCACUGCUUUCACAACUAAGAGCUCCCGCUCUAAUAAACAGAAAUUCUGACUACAUGAUCCGGCACCGCCGAUCAACGAACCAAGUUACCCUAGGGAUAACAGCGCAAUCCUCUUCUAGAGUCCAUAUCGACAAGAGGGUUUACGACCUCGAUGUUGGAUCAGGACAUCCUAAUGGUGCAGCCGCUAUUAAGGGUUC
RNAcentral lists this ribosomal RNA (1309 nucleotides) under Glaucosoma hebraicum (Westralian jewfish). Its description in RNAcentral is "partial 16S ribosomal RNA". It matches the Rfam family "Bacterial large subunit ribosomal RNA", at positions 568 to 2574 of the family's 2925-position model. The record is from RNAcentral. Lineage: Eukaryota; Metazoa; Chordata; Actinopteri; Acropomatiformes; Glaucosomatidae.